CUAGUGGGUACUGCAAGCCGAUGAGGGCGAGUGUACUCACUGGUAACCAAAAACAUAACAGUGAAAGGUAAUACAGAAGUAAUGUCAAUAGGAAACAAGAUAUAUACAUAUACAACUACCGCUACUGUAAAUAACAUGCAUCAACCGAACGAUCAAUCCAAAAUACCCAAUUCAGAAUCCGCCACGUCGGUCUAAGAAUAUCAGGCA
This 207-nucleotide long non-coding RNA is filed under the name Ananas comosus (pineapple). RNAcentral describes it as "long non-coding RNA (ACOM_LNC021136)". The record is from RNAcentral. Lineage: Eukaryota; Viridiplantae; Streptophyta; Magnoliopsida; Poales; Bromeliaceae.